AUUGAACGCUGGCGGCAUGCCUUACACAUGCAAGUCGAGCGGCAGCGCAGGUAGUUUACUACCUGGCGGCGAGCGGCGGACGGCUGAGUAACGCGUGGGAACAUGCCCCAAAGUGAGGAAUAACUGCCCGAAAGGGUAGCUAAUGCCGCAUAUGGUCUUCGGAUUAAAGGAUUUAUCCGCUUUGGGAGUGGCCUGCGUACGAUUAGAUAGUUGGUGAGGUAAUGGCUCACCAAGCCGACGAUCGUUAACUGGUCUGAGAGGAUGAUCAGUCAGACUGGAACUGAGACACGGUCCAGACUCCUACGGGAGGCAGCAGUGAGGAAUCUUCCACAAUGGGCGAAAGCCUGAUGGAGCAACGCCGCGUGCAGGAUGAAGGCCUUCGGGUCGUAAACUGCUUUUAUGAGUGAAGAAUAUGACUGUAACUCAUGAAUAAGCACCGGCUAACUACGUGCCAGCAGCCGCAGUAA
RNAcentral lists this ribosomal RNA (467 nucleotides) under uncultured bacterium. Its description in RNAcentral is "partial 16S ribosomal RNA". It matches the Rfam family "Bacterial small subunit ribosomal RNA", at positions 30 to 523 of the family's 1533-position model. The record is from RNAcentral.